Molecule: ribosomal RNA, 1446 nt
Filed under: uncultured organism
Description: 16S ribosomal RNA
Rfam family: Bacterial small subunit ribosomal RNA
Source: RNAcentral
CGAACGCUGGCGGCGUGCUUAACACAUGCAAGUCGAACGGAAAGGCCCUGCUUUUGUGGGGUGCUCGAGUGGCGAACGGGUGAGUAACACGUGAGUAACCUGCCCUUGACUUUGGGAUAACUUCAGGAAACUGGGGCUAAUACCGGAUAGGAGCUCCUGCUGCAUGGUGGGGGUUGGAAAGUUUCGGCGGUUGGGGAUGGACUCGCGGCUUAUCAGCUUGUUGGUGGGGUAGUGGCUUACCAAGGCUUUGACGGGUAGCCGGCCUGAGAGGGUGACCGGCCACAUUGGGACUGAGAUACGGCCCAGACUCCUACGGGAGGCAGCAGUGGGGAGUAUUGCACAAUGGGCGGAAGCCUGAUGCAGCAACGCCGCGUGCGGGAUGACGGCCUUCGGGUUGUAAACCGCUUUCGCCUGUGACGAAGCGUGAGUGACGGUAAUGGGUAAAGAAGCACCGGCUAACUACGUGCCAGCAGCCGCGGUGAUACGUAGGGUGCGAGCGUUGUCCGGAUUUAUUGGGCGUAAAGGGCUCGUAGGUGGUUGAUCGCGUCGGAAGUGUAAUCUUGGGGCUUAACCCUGAGCGUGCUUUCGAUACGGGUUGACUUGAGGAAGGUAGGGGAGAAUGGAAUUCCUGGUGGAGCGGUGGAAUGCGCAGAUAUCAGGAGGAACACCAGUGGCGAAGGCGGUUCUCUGGGCCUUUCCUGACGCUGAGGAGCGAAAGCGUGGGGAGCGAACAGGCUUAGAUACCCUGGUAGUCCACGCUGUAAACGGUGGGUACUAGGUGUGGGGUCCAUUCCACGGGUUCCGUGCCGUAGCUAACGCUUUAAGUACCCCGCCUGGGGAGUACGGCCGCAAGGCUAAAACUCAAAGGAAUUGACGGGGCCCCGCACAAGCGGCGGAGCAUGCGGAUUAAUUCGAUGCAACGCGUAGAACCUUACCUGGGUUUGACAUGGAUCGGGAGUGCUCAGAGAUGGGUGUGCCUCUUUUGGGGUCGGUUCACAGGUGGUGCAUGGCUGUCGUCAGCUCGUGUCGUGAGAUGUUGGGUUAAGUCCCGCAACGAGCGCAACCCUUGUUCACUGUUGCCAGCACGUUAUGGUGGGGACUCAGUGGAGACCGCCGGGGUCAACUCGGAGGAAGGUGGGGAUGACGUCAAGUCAUCAUGCCCCUUAUGUCCAGGGCCUCACGCAUGCUACAAUGGCUGGUACAGAGAGUGGCGAGCCUGUGAGGGUGAGCGAAUCUCGGAAAGCCGGUCUCAGUUCGGAUUGGGGUCUGCAACUCGACCUCAUGAAGUCGGAGUCGCUAGUAAUCGCAGAUCAGCAACGCUGCGGUGAAUACGUUCCCGGGGCUUGUACACACCGCCCGUCAAGUCAUGAAAGUUGGUAACACCCGAAGCCGGUGGCCUAACCGUUGUGGGGGAGCCGUCGAAGGUGGGACUGGUGAUUAGGACUA